This 537-nucleotide long non-coding RNA is filed under the name Equus caballus (horse). RNAcentral describes it as "lncRNA (ENSECAG00000045119.1)". Lineage: Eukaryota; Metazoa; Chordata; Mammalia; Perissodactyla; Equidae. The record is from RNAcentral.
GAGCCAGUUCCUUAUAACAAAUCAAUCAAUGAGUAAAUUCAAAUCCUGUUAGUUCUCCUUCUCUGGAGAAACUUGACGGACACAGCAGACACAUCCUCGCCCUUGGCCUGCUGGUCCAUGCUGCUGCUCGGCUCCAGGAACCCCGCCCUCAGGACAGCUGGAGGGAUCCCGUUCAAGACGUCUGCCUCGCUCCUUGUCCUCGGACUCCCCCACCCCAGUGUGGUGGGGGUGGGGUGGUCAGAGGACCAACGGCUGUACGGCUGGAGCAGCUCUGGGCAGGAGGAAGGUCCCAGCCUGUGGCUGAGAGUCCUGGAGCCCCAGCACCUUCCAGGCAGCGUCCUGCGCUGCUGUGCUGGCAGAAGCCGCGCCCUUUCCACCUGCCCCUGGAACGGAGGCCUUCAGUCUGGGCGCCGGGCCCGCUUUCCCAGGAGUAGAGUUACAGCAGCUGGUGCAGCCAACAGGUGUGGGCUCCCCGUUACAGCUGCUGCUGAGCACAUCUGUACCCAUGGGCAGAGGGCUCCAGCAGCAGGGCCCGCC